UUGUUCAUUUCCCUGACUGCUCGCAGAAACAUUUUGCAUUUGUUGUUUUUCAUAUUUGCGGAAGAAUUGCGCAAGGACUUUGUAUGAGAAGUAUGAAAUGAGGAAUAAGGACUUUGUGGGCGGUGGAGUUUAUGCAUUUUCCAGCACCUGUUUGGCAUGGGGAGCACAUUCUUGCUUUGGUUUGGACCUAUUGCAAGAACAAAUAUUGCAGAUCCCUAGCUGGUGCAAGAGAUAUUCUCUGUGAGGUCUGAUGAUUAUGAGAAAAUUGAGGCCAAUAAUGCUCGCAAGAAAUUGGAAGGUGAAGAGUUACUGGACUUCAAAGGCGAGAAUGGGCUCAGCACAGAAGAAUCAUCAAUCCUGCUUUUCACAUGGGGGUUGAUCACGAUCAUACUUAAUUUUUUUUUUCUUGGGGUGGGAUUUUGCUUUACAGGGAGCACAUUCUUGCUUUGGUUUGGACCUAUUGCAAGAACAAAUAUUGCAGAUCCCCAGCUGGUGCAAGAGAUAUUCUCUGUGAGGUCUGAUGAUUAUGAGAAAAUUGAGGCCAAUAAUGCCCGCAAGAAAUUGGAAGGUGAAGAGUUACUGGACUUCAAAGGCGAGAAUGGGCUCAGCACAGAAGAAUCAUCAAUCCUACUUUUCACAUGGAAAAUAUCCAAAGGGUUUAUUUCUUUUACUAUGGGUUGGAGGAGUUAUGCUUUUCAACAAUGAGCUAUAAAUUUGAUUGCUAAGCUUUCUUUUGGAUUUGAAGAAAUAAUACAAAAUGCUGUAAUUUUAAAGAUGUCAAUAGCUUAUUUAAUUGGGAAUGAUUGUGUAGCGAUGACAAAUUACUUGUAAAUAUUACUUAACAAUUAUAAUUAAUAAAAAAGUGUUUUUUUUAAGGAGGGGUAGGAAUACCCCUCCAUAAACUCUUAAGGAUGGUCAUGGACAUCCUUCAAGAGGUGUUUCUUGUUCUUUUUUCUCUUACUUUUAUUUUC
Cryptomeria japonica (Japanese cedar) is the source of this 971-nucleotide RNA transcript. RefSeq lists it as uncharacterized. NCBI's taxonomy places the organism in Eukaryota, Viridiplantae, Streptophyta, Pinopsida, Cupressales, Cupressaceae. The transcript is spliced from 4 exons. The record is from RefSeq and is a predicted model, not a curated record.